RNAcentral lists this ribosomal RNA (669 nucleotides) under Bacillus sp. (in: firmicutes). Its description in RNAcentral is "bacterial SSU rRNA". It matches the Rfam family "Bacterial small subunit ribosomal RNA", at positions 31 to 680 of the family's 1533-position model. The record is from RNAcentral. Lineage: Bacteria; Bacillati; Bacillota; Bacilli; Caryophanales; Bacillaceae.
GGGAGGUGGCGGCGUGCUAUACAUGCAGUCGAGCGAAUGGAUUAAGAGCUUGCUCUUAUGAAGUUAGCGGCGGACGGGUGAGUAACACGUGGGUAACCUGCCCAUAAGACUGGGAUAACUCCGGGAAACCGGGGCUAAUACCGGAUAACAUUUUGAACCGCAUGGUUCGAAAUUGAAAGGCGGCUUCGGCUGUCACUUAUGGAUGGACCCGCGUCGCAUUAGCUAGUUGGUGAGGUAACGGCUCACCAAGGCAACGAUGCGUAGCCGACCUGAGAGGGUGAUCGGCCACACUGGGACUGAGACACGGCCCAGACUCCUACGGGAGGCAGCAGUAGGGAAUCUUCCGCAAUGGACGAAAGUCUGACGGAGCAACGCCGCGUGAGUGAUGAAGGCUUUCGGGUCGUAAAACUCUGUUGUUAGGGAAGAACAAGUGCUAGUUGAAUAAGCUGGCACCUUGACGGUACCUAACCAGAAAGCCACGGCUAACUACGUGCCAGCAGCCGCGGUAAUACGUAGGUGGCAAGCGUUAUCCGGAAUUAUUGGGCGUAAAGCGCGCGCAGGUGGUUUCUUAAGUCUGAUGUGAAAGCCCACGGCUCAACCGUGGAGGGUCAUUGGAAACUGGGGAGACUUGAGUGCAGAAGAAGGAAAGUGGGAAUUCCAUGUGUAGGU